GGGGAUGUGGCUCAGUGGUAGAGCCUUUGUUUUGCACACAGAAGGUCCCAGGUUCAAUCCCCAGCAUCUCCA
This is a non-coding RNA of Heteronotia binoei (common prickly gecko), 72 nucleotides long. Lineage: Eukaryota; Metazoa; Chordata; Lepidosauria; Squamata; Gekkonidae. The record is from the annotation of a RefSeq genome assembly.